RNAcentral lists this long non-coding RNA (513 nucleotides) under Homo sapiens (human). RNAcentral's name for it is "HSALNT0003078". Lineage: Eukaryota; Metazoa; Chordata; Mammalia; Primates; Hominidae. The record is from RNAcentral.
CGCAGCCAUAGAGCGGCGUUCUCGCGGCUAGAGUGGCACCGCAGCAAAGAACGUGUAGCUUGCCUAGAGCGUCUCCCCGGCGUUUGGAGUGGGACCUGGCACAGUCCGUGGUCUUAGGGCUUCUGGGCCAGACUAAACCUCCGAAGGAGGAAGAGAAACCAAAGACUUCUGAAAACGACUCCAAGAACAGCAAGGCCGUGAACACAAAAGAAGUCAAUAGAACGCAUGCCUGCUUUGCCCUCCAGGACGAGAUCCUCCAACGGCUGUUGUUCAGUGAAAUGAAGAUGAAGGUCCUAGAAAAUCAGAUGUUCAUCAUAUGGAAUAAAAUGAAUCACCACGGGCGGUCAAGCAGACAUCGGAAUUUUCCCAUGAAAAAACACAGAAUGAGGAGGCAUGAGUCAAUUUGCCCCACCCUGUCUGACUGUACUUCGAGUUCCCCCAGCUAAUGAGGCCGAGGCGGGCUGGCCUCUGCCGAUGUUACCUUUUACCUCAGUAAAACCCAGUCACAGCCUA